Long non-coding RNA from Xenia sp. Carnegie-2017, 100 nucleotides. RefSeq lists it as uncharacterized. The record is from RefSeq and is a predicted model, not a curated record. The transcript is spliced from 3 exons. NCBI's taxonomy places the organism in Eukaryota, Metazoa, Cnidaria, Anthozoa, Malacalcyonacea, Xeniidae.
UUACAGGAGUAUAAUAAUUACUUUAAACUAUUGACAAAAAGACAAUUUACAAUAUUAUUUUAUUGCAUUUAUCUAUCAAAAUUGUCCCACACAAUUUUGA